GUCGAGGACAUGGGUAGCCCCAGUCACCUCGCCCGGAGGUGCAACAGUCGAGAAGCACCCUGGUCGCGGGUGUAGGAGGUCCACAGUUUACAAUGGCCCCGACCUACGGUGUUUCGUUGUUACUUCCAGUGUGCAAACCAACCACAGAGAUCGCAUGGCAGUGCGGAUAAAUGUGAAGCAAUGUGAGGUAGACCGCAUUCCAUCCCCUGCACUGUGGUAGGCUGAAGGAUUUGAUCCAGACUCGACCGGACUUUGCCAGCUAAAGCACUGUAUCUGCAGAGAUCAUUGUCGCCAUUCAAAAAUCUCAAAACACAAUUGCAUUCGAGGGGAUGCUCCUCUAUCAGCAUUCACAAAAUAACACAAAUUUAAGUGCCAACCGUCCUGAAUGUGAAUUCUUGACCGAUAUUUAUUAUCAACAUGAUCAUAUCUCACUAUUUACAAACGUUAUUUUUGCCAUGCAAAAACAUCAGUGUCACAGCGUCUUAUUUGGCAUUCACAUCCAAAUUAUUUCCAGCACUCAUCAUUACUGAUAAUGGUCGUCUCACAGCAGUUACAGAGUGGCAUGUUUUAAUAAACAGCGUUCGUGUGAAUUUUUAUGUCUCGGCAUUCAUAUACAAAUGUUGUCCAACAUUAUUGCAUAAUUGUCGAUGUCUAAAAAAUAAAAUAAAUAAAUAACUGGCGUCAACGCUUGUCUCUGAACUUUGACGUGUUAAAUGUUUUGAUGCACAAUAGCCUGUGCAUCUUUUUCAGCAUUCACGGUAUAGAAUCGGCAUCAGUAUUCAUCUCCCACCAUUCACAAAAUGAAAAUGCUUGUUUCUCAGCAUUCAGAUGCAAAUUAUUUCCAGUAUGCAGUAUUACUGGCAAUGGGUGUCUCUCGGCAUUUGUGUCGGUUAUCUCUCAGCAUUCACCUUUUUUUGGAGGCACACUUGCAUGAAUAGGAAUGCUAUCCCGUCUGAAUUUACAUUUGUGCUAUGAAACCUGGCACAUUGCCUUGGGAAAGGCACAUUAUAACAUUAAUAAUUAAAGUCUUUCGCUUUCUUCCAGCGCCUCUUUUUUUUUUUUUUUAAAGAGCCUGCAGGACAUUGAAGUUAACUGUUUCUAUAAAAUGCUCAAACCUGCUUUCUUUGUUAAACGUCUCCAAUUGCAGCUAUUAAUAUUUA
This is a long non-coding RNA of Hippocampus comes (tiger tail seahorse), 1160 nucleotides long. RefSeq lists it as uncharacterized. The record is from RefSeq and is a predicted model, not a curated record. NCBI's taxonomy places the organism in Eukaryota, Metazoa, Chordata, Actinopteri, Syngnathiformes, Syngnathidae. The transcript is spliced from 4 exons.